RNAcentral lists this ribosomal RNA (268 nucleotides) under uncultured bacterium. Its description in RNAcentral is "partial 16S ribosomal RNA". It matches the Rfam family "Bacterial small subunit ribosomal RNA", at positions 793 to 1055 of the family's 1533-position model. The record is from RNAcentral.
GUCCACGCCCUAAACGAUGUCGACUGGUUGUUGGGGGUUUGACACUCUCAGUAACCGAAGCUAACGCGUGAAGUCGACCGCCUGGGGAGUACGGCCCGCAAGGUUAAAACUCAAAGGAAUUGACGGGGACCCGCACAAGCGGUGGAUUAUGUGGAUUAAUUCGAUGCAACGCGAAAAAACCUUACCUACCCUUGACAUGUCCGAGAGCCUGGAGAGAUCCAGGUGUGCCCGAAAGGGAAUCGGAACACAGGUGCUGCAUGGCUGUCGU